UCCCUGGUGGCUCAGAUGGUAAAAGCAUCUGCCUACAAUGCAGGAGACCUGGGUUUGAUCCCUGGGUUGGGAA
Non-coding RNA from Bos taurus (domestic cattle), 73 nucleotides. The record is from Rfam. NCBI's taxonomy places the organism in Eukaryota, Metazoa, Chordata, Mammalia, Artiodactyla, Bovidae.